GUCUUGUUCGUGCAACCGGGCGCGGUGAUCGCACAGGCCGACACCAGCGUUGAGAUUACCUUCUGGAACUCGGUGAAAGACUCAAAAAAUCCCGCUGAAAUCUCAGCCUACCUCGAUAAAUAUCCGAANCGGCACAUUCGCAGCACUCGCCAGGAUACGGCUGGACGCCCUGAAACAGAAAGCCACCCAGCCUCCCGGCGAACAAUGGGCGGCCAUCGGAUUUGCGGCGCGCGGCGCCUGGGGCGCGGUGUGGCAGAAGGCGACGCG
RNAcentral lists this unclassified non-coding RNA (267 nucleotides) under Hevea brasiliensis (rubber tree). The record is from RNAcentral. Lineage: Eukaryota; Viridiplantae; Streptophyta; Magnoliopsida; Malpighiales; Euphorbiaceae.